RNAcentral lists this ribosomal RNA (912 nucleotides) under Harknessia rhabdosphaera. Its description in RNAcentral is "eukaryotic LSU rRNA". It matches the Rfam family "Eukaryotic large subunit ribosomal RNA", at positions 22 to 964 of the family's 3401-position model. The record is from RNAcentral. Lineage: Eukaryota; Fungi; Ascomycota; Sordariomycetes; Diaporthales; Harknessiaceae.
UACCCGCUGAACUUAAGCAUAUCAAUAAGCGGAGGAAAAGAAACCAACAGGGAUUGCCCUAGUAACGGCGAGUGAAGCGGCAACAGCUCAAAUUUGAAAUCUGGCCUCGGCCCGAGUUGUAAUUUGCAGAGGAUGUUUCUGGCGCGGUGCCUUCCGAGUUCCCUGGAACGGGACGCCACAGAGGGUGAGAGCCCCGUAUGGUUGGACACCAAGCCUGUGUGAAACUCCUUCGACGAGUCGAGUAGUUUGGGAAUGCUGCUCUAAAUGGGAGGUAAAUCUCUUCUAAAGCUAAAUACCGGCCAGAGACCGAUAGCGCACAAGUAGAGUGAUCGAAAGAUGAAAAGCACCUUGAAAAGGGGGUUAAACAGUACGUGAAAUUGUUGAAAGGGAAGCGCUCAUGACCAGACUUGUGCCGGGCGGUUCAUCCGGGGUUCUCCCCGGUGCACUCCGCCCGGUUCAGGCCAGCAUCGGUUCUCGUUGGGGGAUAAGAACGGUAGGAACGUGGCCCUCCCUCGGGAGGGUGUUAUAGCCUGCCGUACGAUACCUUGAUGGGGACCGAGGUUCGCGCUCCGCAAGGAUGCUGGCGUAAUGGUCAUCAGCGACCCGUCUUGAAACACGGACCAAGGAGUCGUCCAUUAGAGCGAGCGUUUGGGUGUAAAACCCGCACGCGUAAUGAAAGUGAAAUUAGGUGAGAGCUUCGGCGCAUCAUCGACCGAUCCUGAUGUUCUCGGAUGGAUUUGAGUAAGAGUUUUAACGGACGGACCCGAAAGACAGUGAACUAUGCUUGUAUAGGGUGAAGCCAGAGGAAACUCUGGUGGAGGCUCGCAGCGGUUCUGACGUGCAAAUCGAUCGUCAAAUAUGAGCAUGGGGGCGAAAGACUAAUCGAACUGUCUAGUAGCUGGUUACCGCCGA